RNAcentral lists this ribosomal RNA (474 nucleotides) under Triticum aestivum (bread wheat). RNAcentral's name for it is "partial small subunit ribosomal RNA". The record is from RNAcentral. Lineage: Eukaryota; Viridiplantae; Streptophyta; Magnoliopsida; Poales; Poaceae.
GCUCAAUUAACAAGGGCAUACACGGUUGUGUUUUGAAAAACACUUUAGUCCAUAGUUUGUGACGAGAAUUGCGGUCAACGUCAGUGCCUAUAGUGGGGCAAAUAUAAACCUUGUUUUGGCCCCGCAACCACUCAAGUGGGAAGGAAGGGUAUGCAUUUCUUAGAGGAAACCAUCUGCUGGAUCUUACUUUCCUUUGCUUCAGAAUACUGUUGCUGUCAGUGCUCAGGAAACAGACAUUCGAAGAUAGCUGAGUGAAGAAAAAUAAAACCAAAGCUUUAUGCACGCAAUGACCCACCCCUGCUCAUGUCAAAUUGUAUACAUAUUUUCUUUCCUUCAUAGUGGAACAAAACCUUUGCUUGUCACCCACCGUUCCUCCUAAUGAAAACCAUAUAGUAGAAGGAGAAGCGCUCAAGCAAGCGAGUGCUUUUUCCCCCUGUUCUUUUCUUUCUAGAACAGCAGCCAUCCAUUCAAUUG